UACAAAGGGUCGCCAACCCGCGAGGGGGGAGCCAAUACCCAUAAAACCAUUCGUAGUCCGGAUCGCAGUCUGCAACUCGACUGCGUGAAGUCGGAAUCGCUAGUAAUCGUGGAUCAGAAUGUCACGGUGAAUACGUUCCCGGGUCUU
Molecule: ribosomal RNA, 147 nt
Filed under: uncultured Polaromonas sp.
Lineage: Bacteria; Pseudomonadati; Pseudomonadota; Betaproteobacteria; Burkholderiales; Comamonadaceae
Description: partial 16S ribosomal RNA
Rfam family: Bacterial small subunit ribosomal RNA
Source: RNAcentral